CCUACGGGAGGCAGCAGUGAGGAAUAUUGGUCAAUGGGCGCAAGCCUGAACCAGCCAAGUAGCGUGAAGGAUGACGGCCCUACGGGUUGUAAACUUCUUUUAUAAGGGAGUAAAGUGAGGCACGUGUGCCGUUUUGUAUGUACUUUAUGAAUAAGGAUCGGCUAACUCCGUGCCAGCAGCCGCGGUAAUACGGAGGAUCCGAGCGUUAUCCGGAUUUAUUGGGUUUAAAGGGAACGUAGGGGGGGUGUUAAGUCAGUUGUGAAAGUUUGGGGCUCAACCGGAAAAUUGCAAUUGAUACUGGCGUUCUUGAGUGAACUGGAGGUAGGCGGAAUUCGUGGUGUAGCGGUGAAAUGCUUAGAUAUCACGAAGAACUCCGAUUGCGAAGGCAGCUUACUAAAGCGCCACUGACACUGAUGCUCGAAAGCGUGGGUAUCAAACAGGAUUAGAUACCCGGGUAGUC
Molecule: ribosomal RNA, 460 nt
Filed under: uncultured bacterium
Lineage: Bacteria
Description: partial 16S ribosomal RNA
Rfam family: Bacterial small subunit ribosomal RNA
Source: RNAcentral